This 415-nucleotide unclassified non-coding RNA is filed under the name fungal sp. Its description in RNAcentral is "partial internal transcribed spacer region". The stretch from base 1 to 45 matches the Rfam family "Eukaryotic small subunit ribosomal RNA", at positions 1787 to 1831 of the family's 1831-position model. Lineage: Eukaryota; Fungi. The record is from RNAcentral.
AGUCGUAACAAGGUUUCUGUAGGUGAACCUGCAGAAGGAUCAUUAAAUACUAUCAUCUGUCUGACUUAGUGAUUGGAGAUCUUUGGAUUGAAAAUUACUUAUUAAAACAAAACAUGUUCUUCCUUUCCUUGCUAACAUGGGGAAAAAGGUUGACAUGAACACUUAACGUUGGUAAACUUGAAGUCUAUAUAAAAAAACUAAACUGUCGAGUCUGUUAUGUUGAAACAACAUAAUGGUCAUUUAUCCAGCUUGCAUGGCCCUCUCAUGGUCAAGGUCAUUGCUUGUUGGCACAAAUUACGUCAUUUAUGGCGUGCAACUCUUGAAAAAACUUCAGCAAGCCUACAGCGCGAACUGAAAAACAAUUACAACUUAUAGCGGUGGAUACCUCGGCUACUUUAACGAUGAAGAACGCAGC